AUUGAACGCUGGCGGCAGGCCUAACACAUGCGAGUCGAGCGGUAACAGGAAGAAGCUUGCUUCUUUGCUGACGAGUGGCGGACGGGUGAGUAAUGUCUGGGAAACUGCCUGAUGGAGGGGGAUAACUACUGGAAACGGUAGCUAAUACCGCAUAAUGUCGCAAGACCAAAGAGGGGGACCUUCGGGCCUCUUGCCAUCGGAUGUGCCCAGAUGGGAUUAGCUAGUAGGUGGGGUAACGGCUCACCUAGGCGACGAUCCCUAGCUGGUCUGAGAGGAUGACCAGCCACACUGGAACUGAGACACGGUCCAGACUCCUACGGGAGGCAGCAGUGGGGAAUAUUGCACAAUGGGCGCAAGCCUGAUGCAGCUAUGCCGCGUGUAUGAAGAAGGCCUUCGGGUUGUAAAGUACUUUCAGCGGGGAGGAAGGGAGUAAAGUUAAUACCUUUGCUCAUUGACGUUACCCGCAGAAGAAGCACCGGCUAACUCCGUG
RNAcentral lists this ribosomal RNA (490 nucleotides) under uncultured bacterium. RNAcentral's name for it is "partial 16S ribosomal RNA". It matches the Rfam family "Bacterial small subunit ribosomal RNA", at positions 30 to 507 of the family's 1533-position model. The record is from RNAcentral.